GUCGAGCGGAAACGAGUUAUCUGAACCUUCGGGGAACGAUAACGGCGUCGAGCGGCGGACGGGUGAGUAAUGCCUAGGAAAUUGCCCUGAUGUGGGGGAUAACCAUUGGAAACGAUGGCUAAUACCGCAUGAUGCCUACGGGCCAAAGAGGGGGACCUUCGGGCCUCUCGCGUCAGGAUAUGCCUAGGUGGGAUUAGCUAGUUGGUGAGGUAAGGGCUCACCAAGGCGACGAUCCCUAGCUGGUCUGAGAGGAUGAUCAGCCACACUGGAACUGAGACACGGUCCAGACUCCUACGGGAGGCAGCAGUGGGGAAUAUUGCACAAUGGGCGCAAGCCUGAUGCAGCCAUGCCGCGUGUGUGAAGAAGGCCUUCGGGUUGUAAAGUACUUUCAGUCGUGAGGAAGGCGGUGGAGUUAAUAGCUGCAUCGUUUGACGUUAGCGACAGAAGAAGCACCGGCUAACUCCGUGCCAGCAGCCGCGGUAAUACGGAGGGUGCGAGCGUUAAUCGGAAUUACUGGGCGUAAAGCGCAUGCAGGUGGUUUGUUAAGUCAGAUGUGAAAGCCCGGGGCUCAACCUCGGAAUAGCAUUUGAAACUGGCAGACUAGAGUACUGUAGAGGGGGGUAGAAUUUCAGGUGUAGCGGUGAAAUGCGUAGAGAUCUGAAGGAAUACCGGUGGCGAAGGCGGCCCCCUGGACAGAUACUGACACUCAGAUGCGAAAGCGUGGGGAGCAAACAGGAUUAGAUACCCUGGUAGUCCACGCCGUAAACGAUGUCUACUUGGAGGUUGUGGCCUUGAGCCGUGGCUUUCGGAGCUAACGCGUUAAGUAGACCGCCUGGGGAGUACGGUCGCAAGAUUAAAACUCAAAUGAAUUGACGGGGGCCCGCACAAGCGGUGGAGCAUGUGGUUUAAUUCGAUGCAACGCGAAGAACCUUACCUACUCUUGACAUCCAGAGAACUUUCCAGAGAUGGAUUGGUGCCUUCGGGAACUCUGAGACAGGUGCUGCAUGGCUGUCGUCAGCUCGUGUUGUGAAAUGUUGGGUUAAGUCCCGCAACGAGCGCAACCCUUAUCCUUGUUUGCCAGCGAGUAAUGUCGGGAACUCCAGGGAGACUGCCGGUGAUAAACCGGAGGAAGGUGGGGACGACGUCAAGUCAUCAUGGCCCUUACGAGUAGGGCUACACACGUGCUACAAUGGCGCAUACAGAGGGCGGCCAACUUGCGAAAGUGAGCGAAUCCCAAAAAGUGCGUCGUAGUCCGGAUUGGAGUCUGCAACUCGACUCCAUGAAGUCGGAAUCGCUAGUAAUCGUGGAUCAGAAUGCCACGGUGAAUACGUUCCCGGGCCUUGUACACACCGCCCGUCACACCAUGGGAGUGGGCUGCAAAAGAAGUAGGUAGUUUAACCUUCGGGGGGACG
This 1412-nucleotide ribosomal RNA is filed under the name Vibrio parahaemolyticus. Its description in RNAcentral is "bacterial SSU rRNA". It matches the Rfam family "Bacterial small subunit ribosomal RNA". The record is from RNAcentral. Lineage: Bacteria; Pseudomonadati; Pseudomonadota; Gammaproteobacteria; Vibrionales; Vibrionaceae.